RNAcentral lists this transfer RNA (65 nucleotides) under Dipodomys ordii (Ord's kangaroo rat). It matches the Rfam family "tRNA". From Rfam's summary of the family: Transfer RNA (tRNA) molecules are approximately 80 nucleotides in length. Their secondary structure includes four short double-helical elements and three loops (D, anti-codon, and T loops). Lineage: Eukaryota; Metazoa; Chordata; Mammalia; Rodentia; Heteromyidae. The record is from Rfam by way of RNAcentral.
GGUGGCUCAGUAGUAGAGCACUAGCCUUUCAUGCCUGAGGCCCUGGGUUCGAUUCCUCAGCACCA